UGGGGAAUUUUGGACAAUGGGCGCAAGCCUGAUCCAGCCAUGCCGCGUGUCUGAAGAAGGCCUUCGGGUUGUAAAGGACUUUUGUCCAGGAGCAAGACUUAGAGAUGAAUAGUUUCUAGGGGUGAGAGUACUGGAAGAAUAAGCACCGGCUAACUACGUGCCAGCAGCCGCGGUAAUACGUAGGGUGCGAGCGUUAAUCGGAAUGACUGGGCGUAAAGAGUGCGUAGGCGGUUACGCGAGCUUGAUGUGAAAUCCCCGGGCUUAACCUGGGAAUGGCAUGGAGGACAGCGUAGCUAGAGUCUGUCAGAGGUGGGUAGAAUUCCCUGUGUAGCAGUGAAAUGCGUAGAGAUGGGGAGGAAUACCGAUGGCGAAGGCAGCCUGCUGGGAUAAGACUGACGCU
This 400-nucleotide ribosomal RNA is filed under the name uncultured bacterium. RNAcentral describes it as "bacterial SSU rRNA". It matches the Rfam family "Bacterial small subunit ribosomal RNA", at positions 355 to 747 of the family's 1533-position model. The record is from RNAcentral.